Mobula hypostoma (lesser devil ray) is the source of this 750-nucleotide long non-coding RNA. RefSeq lists it as uncharacterized. The transcript is spliced from 3 exons. NCBI's taxonomy places the organism in Eukaryota, Metazoa, Chordata, Chondrichthyes, Myliobatiformes, Myliobatidae. The record is from RefSeq and is a predicted model, not a curated record.
GUGAGACAUUAAUUAGAGGAAAAACCCACAACUGGAAGCAAACCACGACUGAAGACGAGCGAACAGCAACAAGAGAACCAGCCCGAGGAUUGACAACAUCAACUGGAGAGGACCCAUCUGACUCGGAGAAUCCAGUGAUUCAGUCAGGAGAAAGUUUGGUCAUCACAUGACCUCACGCUGGCGGGAAAAUUACAUCAUGUGACCUCACACUGGCAGGAAAUUACAUCACCCCACCAUCCCAAGACAAUUACAUCAUGGUCAUAAGACAGUCACAAGAUACCACGAGGUUAAAAAUGACAAGGAAUUUGUCUACAGGAAUCUCCAACAUAACACGCCAGUUUCGCUGUAUCUGUCCAGAUAUUUAAGAAGUGCAUCCAGGGAUUCAAUCGAUCAUCCUUCCUGCUCAGACUGUGGGGAGGGAUUCACUGAAUCAUCUGACCGACUGCCACACCCGUCAUUUUACACAGGGGGGAACCCAUUCAUCUGCUCAGACAGUGGGAAUGGAUUCAGUCGGUCAUCUCAACUGAAGGUACAUCAGCAAGUUCACACUGGACAAGGCCAUUCACCUGUUCUGUGUGUGAGAAUGGAUUCAGUCGGUCCUCCCACCUGUGGACACACGGGUCAGUUCACACUGGGCAGAGGCUGGUUAUCUGCUGAAUUUGUAGGGAAGGAUUCACUCAGUCAUCUGACCUAAUGGCUCACCAGAGAGUUCACACCAGGGAGCAGCCAUUCACCUGCUCAGACUGCGGA